RNAcentral lists this RNase P RNA (327 nucleotides) under Chryseobacterium sp. RNAcentral's name for it is "RNase P RNA component class A". It matches the Rfam family "Bacterial RNase P class A". Rfam says of the family: Ribonuclease P (RNase P) is a ubiquitous endoribonuclease, found in archaea, bacteria and eukarya as well as chloroplasts and mitochondria. Its best characterised activity is the generation of mature 5'-ends of tRNAs by cleaving the 5'-leader elements of precursor-tRNAs. Cellular RNase Ps are ribonucleoproteins. Lineage: Bacteria; Pseudomonadati; Bacteroidota; Flavobacteriia; Flavobacteriales; Weeksellaceae. The record is from RNAcentral.
UGAGAAAAACAGCUUGUUGAUUUCAAUUUAUUGGAAUAGGAAAGUCCGGACACCGAAGAGCAGCAAAGCGGUUAACAGCCGUCGGUCGUGAGAUCAGGACAAGUGCAACAGAAAGUAUGUAUAUUAAUUUAUAGUGAAACCAGGUAAACUCUUUGCGGUGCAAUGUUAAGUACAUCGAUGCUUUUAGAUUCGUCUAAGAUAGGAGUUGCUGGCUCCGAAAAUCGAGGGGUAAACAGCUAAAGUUUUGCAGCAAUGUAAGAUGUAGAUAAAUAACAGGCGUUCAAUUUAUUUUGAAAACAGAAUCCGGCUUAUCGUUUUUCUCAUGGG